RNAcentral lists this ribosomal RNA (465 nucleotides) under Vreelandella stevensii. RNAcentral describes it as "partial 16S ribosomal RNA". It matches the Rfam family "Bacterial small subunit ribosomal RNA", at positions 338 to 795 of the family's 1533-position model. The record is from RNAcentral. Lineage: Bacteria; Pseudomonadati; Pseudomonadota; Gammaproteobacteria; Oceanospirillales; Halomonadaceae.
CCUACGAGCGGCAGCAGUGGGGAAUAUUGGACAAUGGGGGGAACCCUGAUCCAGCCAUGCCGCGUGUGUGAAGAAGGCCCUCGGGUUGUAAAGCACUUUCAGUGAGGAAGAACGCCUGGUGGUUAAUACCCAUCAGGAAAGACAUCACUCACAGAAGAAGCACCGGCUAACUCCGUGCCAGCAGCCGCGGUAAUACGGAGGGUGCGAGCGUUAAUCGGAAUUACUGGGCGUAAAGCGCGCGUAGGUGGCUUGAUAAGCCGGUUGUGAAAGCCCCGGGCUCAACCUGGGAACGGCAUCCGGAACUGUCAAGCUAGAGUGCAGGAGAGGAAGGUAGAAUUCCCGGUGUAGCGGUGAAAUGCGUAGAGAUCGGGAGGAAUACCAGUGGCGAAGGCGGCCUUCUGGACUGACACUGACACUGAGGUGCGAAAGCGUGGGUAGCAAACAGGAUUAGAUACCCCUGUAGUC